RNAcentral lists this long non-coding RNA (273 nucleotides) under Marmota marmota marmota (Alpine marmot). RNAcentral's name for it is "lncRNA (ENSMMMG00000008057.1)". Lineage: Eukaryota; Metazoa; Chordata; Mammalia; Rodentia; Sciuridae. The record is from RNAcentral.
UGCGCAGGACGCAGGACGCCAGUGCCCAGGGACGGCUGGUCCACUGUGAGGGGGUUCAGAGGAGUAGAAGAAUUAACGGUUGUAGUUCAGAUUCUUGGAAGAUGGAUGUUGACAUCAGCUACAUGGAACGGAUCCAUUCAUCAACCGAGGUGUCAGAGGAUGGAUGAAAACUCCUUAAGCAUGUUAGAAACGCAUCACCAUUGCUUUACUUCUGUCCGUGCCCAUCACCCGAGUGACCUCCUCAGCCGGGAUGGCCUCCCUUUGCUGUUUGGU